AUAGGCUUCCUCUUGAAUGUGGAGGGAAUUACAGGAUAAGUAAAUAGGAACAUGGUGGCCAUGUGGGCUGCUGCCCCUGGAUACUACUUGGAGACCAGCCUGGCAUGGAAAUGACCAGAUGUUUGAAACUGAGCUACUGCUCAAGGUAUUAGUGCUUGAAAGAUUUUCCGUGUUUGAAGGGAUUUUUAUGGUGCUGGCCUAGCAGUUGACCUUUCUGUGGUGGAUUGCGAACAUUCUUCAAAACUGUGGCCGACACCCAAGCUUGCUGCCAUGUUUUGAGCUGCCUUGGGAAGUGGCCAAUGCAGCAAGGAAUUGAGAGAGCCAGCAGGAAAACGAGACCCUCAAUACAGCAAGAGACCGAAUCCUGCCAACAACCACGUGAGUGACUAUGUCCUUCCCCAGCCAAGACUUCAGAUGAGACUGCAGCCCCAACCAACACAUUAGCUCUUGCCUUGUAAGAAACCUUAGAACAGAGGCAGCAAGCUAAGUCACACACAGA
Microcebus murinus (gray mouse lemur) is the source of this 499-nucleotide non-coding RNA. Lineage: Eukaryota; Metazoa; Chordata; Mammalia; Primates; Cheirogaleidae. The record is from RefSeq and is a predicted model, not a curated record.